UGGCGCAGUAGGUAGCGCAUCAGUCUCGCAAGCUGAAGGUCCUGAGUUCGAUCCUUGG
This 58-nucleotide transfer RNA is filed under the name Monodelphis domestica (gray short-tailed opossum). It matches the Rfam family "tRNA", at positions 8 to 63 of the family's 71-position model. From Rfam's summary of the family: Transfer RNA (tRNA) molecules are approximately 80 nucleotides in length. Their secondary structure includes four short double-helical elements and three loops (D, anti-codon, and T loops). The record is from Rfam by way of RNAcentral. Lineage: Eukaryota; Metazoa; Chordata; Mammalia; Didelphimorphia; Didelphidae.